GAGAGAGAGACGGGGGGAGAGAGAGAGAGACAGAGAGAGACAGAGAGAGACAGAGAGAAAGAGAGACAGAGAGAGAGAGAGAGAGAGACAGAGAGAGAGAGAGACAGAGAGAGAGAGAGAGAGAGACAGAGAGAGAGAGAGACAGAGAGAGAGAGAGAGCCGGUGACGUCAUCUUUUCCGCUCGACUCUGCGGCCGGUGGGAAUGUUCUCGAACGUGUCGGAUGAAGAAGUAACACAAGCAGUUUGUUCUGGAGGGCCUCCAGGAUGCUGUCGGAGUCGCAAAGCAUGCAGGGAGUUGUAGUGCAGAUCUGGAUGUGGUACUUGCCCACCGGCUGCCUCAGGAACAUGGUGUAGAACGUCGCUACCUCAUAGAUCCUCAUCGGAGGGACCUCAAGCACCUCGGCCACCUGGGAGAAGAGAGGAAAAUGUAUGUUUAAAAAAAAAAAAAAAAAAAAAAAAAAAAAAUGGAGGCUCAUUAACACAAAAAGGUGUAGCAUUGACUUAAGUAUAAUCAGUCCAGUAAUGGAUGAUGGAGUCGGUUUCUAAAUGGCUCGUCCCUACUGAUCACGCCCCUGGUCUGCAAAUAGAGAUUCUACGUAAUUCUGUGGUUCAACAAAUCUACAUCAGCACAUCACUCAUUCAUUCUGAUUAUGCCUAUUUUAAAAAUAUGUCUCCAAAAAAGCAAACCAGAUUAACAUACUCUAUUCUGAAGCAAACAGAUGCCCCAGUCGGGAUAUUGUUCAUGGCUGAGAUGGGGAUAUUGAUUGAUUGAUUUACCUUGUUCAUGGCUGAGAUGGGGAGCCAUCCAUGCUGUCUCUGAGCCAGGUCCAACACGGGGAUGGUGGCGGCCUGCUUGUGGCCCUCUGGGUACAUACUAAUGAUAGCAUCAAUCCUCUAAAAACAACAAACGGCUUUCAUUAGUGACUCUAUAUGGAUGUGGUUUGUUGAUAAGAAGAGAAAAUGUGAUUGUUUUAUAAAAGCUUCCUUUUCAUAAAAAAAAAAAAUGUCAAAGUUAAAAGAUGUGAAAUUGAUGCGAUUUACAUUGUAAUAAACCGGUGUUUUAAUAGUU
Oncorhynchus masou masou (cherry salmon) is the source of this 1069-nucleotide long non-coding RNA. RefSeq lists it as uncharacterized. The record is from RefSeq and is a predicted model, not a curated record. The transcript has 2 exons. NCBI's taxonomy places the organism in Eukaryota, Metazoa, Chordata, Actinopteri, Salmoniformes, Salmonidae.